UUAGCGGCGCUUUUAAGCGCCACUAAAACUAUUUGUAGUAUUUUU
Non-coding RNA from Gossypium arboreum, 45 nucleotides. NCBI's taxonomy places the organism in Eukaryota, Viridiplantae, Streptophyta, Magnoliopsida, Malvales, Malvaceae. The record is from Rfam.